RNAcentral lists this long non-coding RNA (227 nucleotides) under Lathyrus oleraceus (garden pea). Its description in RNAcentral is "Pisum sativum (pea) long non-coding RNA (PSAT_LNC034241)". Lineage: Eukaryota; Viridiplantae; Streptophyta; Magnoliopsida; Fabales; Fabaceae. The record is from RNAcentral.
AGGGUAUCCAGGCCUUGCUUGACGAUGGUAUCCUCCAAGCUGAAGACUUAUCUGCCCAAAGGUCUGUUGAAGGGGUUGUUGAAGGGGUUGUUGAGAAUGAAGAUGUUGAUCCUCUCUUUCCUGAAGAUGCUGAAGAAUUUACAAAUGUUGUUCCUGCUGAUUUUGUAAUUCCCAAUGAUGUCAUUAAUUUUUCUGAUGCUGUUGCUGAUAUUCCAAACAUGGUGUUU